UUUUUUGCCAGAUAGGAUAAGGCUUUUGGUGGGUUUCCUGUUCCGUUUUGUUGUUAUCAUAGCAAAGCCAUCUGGUUCAGAUGCUUCUUCUGGAUCCCAUUUUAGUAUAUGCUUUACUUCGUUCAAUCUCGCUUUCAGAUAUUUCACCCUCAGUUGCAGCAUCCACAACCUGAUUCAAAUUGUCAUGCUGUUUCUUGCUCAAUUCUAUCGUAGCAAUCUCCUGUUCUUUCAUAAUGUUAAUAUACUCUGUACAGGGUUUUAGAGGAGAAUUUUUCUAAAAGUUGACAUUUCUUCCAUUUUUUCCAUGUGCUUGAUAACCA
This 320-nucleotide long non-coding RNA is filed under the name Setaria viridis. RNAcentral's name for it is "long non-coding RNA (SVIR_LNC009725)". The record is from RNAcentral. Lineage: Eukaryota; Viridiplantae; Streptophyta; Magnoliopsida; Poales; Poaceae.